Molecule: ribosomal RNA, 335 nt
Filed under: uncultured eukaryote
Lineage: Eukaryota
Description: partial 18S ribosomal RNA
Rfam family: Eukaryotic small subunit ribosomal RNA
Source: RNAcentral
CCCUUAGAUGAUCUGGGCUGCACGCGCGCUACACUGAUUGUGCCACACUGACUAUUAUUCCUAGGGCGAAAAGCACUGGGUAAACAGUAAACACAUAUCGUGCUUUGGAAUAAAUUGUUGUAAUUCGUGAUUUUGAACGAGGAAUUCCUAGUAAGUAACAGUCAUCAACUGUUGUUGAUUACGUCCCUGCCCUUUGUACACACCGCCCGUCGCUCCUACCGAUGGAACGAUCCGGUGAAAACUCUGGAUUGGAGGGUUUGGUUGUUGCUUUGCAACACUACCCUUCGAGAAAUUGUUUGAAUCUUAUCGUUUAGAGGAAGGAGAAGUCGUAACAA